CAAGAGGGGCUCUAGCCCCACCAGCCCAAUGCAAUGUGAAUUGGACUUGAAACAUUGAAAUGCGCAUGCUCAGAGUGUGUCUCUGUUGAAGUGGACGGAGAUUAUUUUACUUCCUGGUGGGGCUAGUCCCACCGGUGGGGCUAGUCCCAUUUAUGGUUCGUUCCACUUCAGCGUCAUUUCGUUUUUCACAGUUCAUUGGCUGUAGGGUGAGGCACGUGAUGAAUCAUGACUCGAGUGACCUCCCACCUCACCUCACAUGCCGCGCGCAAGAUGUCCGGUAGCGAAGAAGUGAAGGAGAAGGAUAACUUUGCUAACAAACAUGCCGGAGGCAAACAUCGAAAACGAAUCGACAACAUGAAUGUGGUAGAUCAUCUAUUGGAGCACGGAUUUGAGACCCUUAGUCUGGAGGACAAAAUAGAGGCACGGCAGAAGGUUCCCACACUUCAUGGAGGAGGCCAAACAAAUGGCGGCUGGACUACUUCCACCAGUCUUCAGACUGAAGCGAAAAAGAGAAGUGAAUGACGUUUCCAGUGAAAUAAUA
Gadus morhua (Atlantic cod) is the source of this 541-nucleotide long non-coding RNA. RefSeq lists it as uncharacterized. NCBI's taxonomy places the organism in Eukaryota, Metazoa, Chordata, Actinopteri, Gadiformes, Gadidae. The transcript has 2 exons. The record is from RefSeq and is a predicted model, not a curated record.